GGGCUUGUAGUUUAAUGGAUAGAAUAACAGGUUUCGGCCCUGUUGAUUCGGGUUCGAAUCCCGGCAAGCCCU
RNAcentral lists this transfer RNA (72 nucleotides) under archaeon. RNAcentral's name for it is "tRNA-Arg". It matches the Rfam family "tRNA". From Rfam's summary of the family: Transfer RNA (tRNA) molecules are approximately 80 nucleotides in length. Their secondary structure includes four short double-helical elements and three loops (D, anti-codon, and T loops). The record is from RNAcentral.